RNAcentral lists this small RNA (125 nucleotides) under Marmota monax (woodchuck). Lineage: Eukaryota; Metazoa; Chordata; Mammalia; Rodentia; Sciuridae. The record is from RNAcentral.
GCCAGGCAUGGUGGUGCACGCCUGUAAUCCCAGCUGCUUGGGAGACUGAGACUGGAGGAUCACGAGUUCGAAGCCAACCUCAGCAACAGUGAGGCACUAAGCAACUCAGGGAGACCCUGCCUCUA